AACACGAUUAAAGUACCAUGAAAGUAAAAAUAAGAAAUAUAUAAGGUAUACAUACAUAAAGAUUAAAAUUCGGCAUUUAAAAAAAAAGAAUCAAAGAAAAUAAAUGAAAAUAAAGCACAAAGUAUAAAGGAAGCGAGACCCUACUCUCCAGACAGAGCUGAAGUUCUGCCGCCUCUGUGGUCCGACAACUUGGUGGCAGAGAGUGGUCUGUGCAGGAUCUGGUGAUGGACCAUGGCGCUGAUUGUCAGACUGUUGUGCCAAAGAUUGGGAAUCCGAGAACCACCGAGAAGCCGACACUGAUGCAAACACACGAGGGUUGAUUUACAAGCUUGAGCUUGCGUCCAAGUACACCCGACACAGCUGAGCAGGGACUUGGACCCUGAGCUCAGUCACUCAUCAGGAAAUGCAUCUUUAUGGAUUUGGAAAGAACUGAGAGACAUUAUUACCAGUGGUCCUAUUAUUAUGUGAAGGAUUCUUCCCUGAGAUUCUUCCCCUGUUUCAAGUGACACUGAAACACUGUGAACUCUUUGGAAGACAAAAGUCAAGGAAAUAAAUGUUAUGCAUUGCUAAUUUGAAAUGCACUUGCAAU
Molecule: long non-coding RNA, 589 nt
Organism: Nyctereutes procyonoides (raccoon dog)
Lineage: Eukaryota; Metazoa; Chordata; Mammalia; Carnivora; Canidae
Exons: 3
Source: RefSeq, a predicted model, not a curated record